This 896-nucleotide ribosomal RNA is filed under the name uncultured Acinetobacter sp. Its description in RNAcentral is "bacterial SSU rRNA". It matches the Rfam family "Bacterial small subunit ribosomal RNA", at positions 8 to 898 of the family's 1533-position model. The record is from RNAcentral. Lineage: Bacteria; Pseudomonadati; Pseudomonadota; Gammaproteobacteria; Moraxellales; Moraxellaceae.
AGAGUUUGAUCAUGGCUCAGAUUGAACGCUGGCGGCAGGCUUAACACAUGCAAGUCGAGCGGGGAAGAGUAGCUUGCUACUUUACCUAGCGGCGGACGGGUGAGUAAUGCUUAGGAAUCUGCCUAUUAGUGGGGGACAACAUCUCGAAAGGGAUGCUAAUACCGCAUACGUCCUACGGGAGAAAGCAGGGGACCUUCGGGCCUUGCGCUAAUAGAUGAGCCUAAGUCGGAUUAGCUAGUUGGUGGGGUAAAGGCCUACCAAGGCGACGAUCUGUAGCGGGUCUGAGAGGAUGAUCCGCCACACUGGGACUGAGACACGGCCCAGACUCCUACGGGAGGCAGCAGUGGGGAAUAUUGGACAAUGGGGGGAACCCUGAUCCAGCCAUGCCGCGUGUGUGAAGAAGGCCUUUUGGUUGUAAAGCACUUUAAGCGAGGAGGAGGCUACCGAGAUUAAUACUCUUGGAUAGUGGACGUUACUCGCAGAAUAAGCACCGGCUAACUCUGUGCCAGCAGCCGCGGUAAUACAGAGGGUGCAAGCGUUAAUCGGAUUUACUGGGCGUAAAGCGCGCGUAGGUGGCCAAUUAAGUCAAAUGUGAAAUCCCCGAGCUUAACUUGGGAAUUGCAUUCGAUACUGGUUGGCUAGAGUAUGGGAGAGGAUGGUAGAAUUCCAGGUGUAGCGGUGAAAUGCGUAGAGAUCUGGAGGAAUACCGAUGGCGAAGGCAGCCAUCUGGCCUAAUACUGACACUGAGGUGCGAAAGCAUGGGGAGCAAACAGGAUUAGAUACCCUGGUAGUCCAUGCCGUAAACGAUGUCUACUAGCCGUUGGGGCCUUUGAGGCUUUAGUGGCGCAGCUAACGCGAUAAGUAGACCGCCUGGGGAGUACGGUCGCAAGACUAAA